RNAcentral lists this transfer RNA (64 nucleotides) under bovine gut metagenome. It matches the Rfam family "tRNA", at positions 6 to 65 of the family's 71-position model. Rfam says of the family: Transfer RNA (tRNA) molecules are approximately 80 nucleotides in length. The record is from RNAcentral.
GUCGUAGCUCAGUUGGGAGAGCAUCGGAUUGUGGCUCCGAAGGUCGAGGGUUCGAGCCCCUUCG